GUGUCAGCCGCCGCGGUAAAACGUAGGUGGCAAGCGUUAUCCGGAUUUACUGGGCGUAAAGCGUGUGCAGGCGGGUGGACAAGUGGUGUAUGAAAUCGCCAGGCUAAACCUGGCGGGGUUAUGCCAGACUGUCCGUCUGGAGUGCGAGAGAGGGGCGUGGAAUUCCGGGUGUAGUGGUGAAAUGCGUAGAGAUCCGGAGGAACCCCAGAGGCGAAGGCGGCGCCCUGGCUCGCAACUGACGCUCAGACACGACAGCAUGGGGAGCGAACGGGAUUAGAAACCCCCGUAGUCC
RNAcentral lists this ribosomal RNA (292 nucleotides) under uncultured bacterium. Its description in RNAcentral is "partial 16S ribosomal RNA". It matches the Rfam family "Bacterial small subunit ribosomal RNA", at positions 505 to 796 of the family's 1533-position model. The record is from RNAcentral.